This 240-nucleotide unclassified non-coding RNA is filed under the name soil metagenome. RNAcentral's name for it is "partial contains 5.8S ribosomal RNA, internal transcribed spacer 2, and large subunit ribosomal RNA". The record is from RNAcentral.
AAGACUAUAGACCUGCGGAGUACCUGCGGAGGGAUCAUCAACAAAUCUAAAAUUUGGUGUGUGUGCUACUGCGGUUUAUUGCUCUGCACACACCCAUAAACCAAUGUGAAUUGCAGCUGCUAUUUAUUAUUAUUACACUUCUUUUGAGUAGUGUGUGGUGAUGAUGGUGGUUGUGUGGAUAGAUUUUUGGCUCUAGAGUCGAAAACCUGUAUUAACUCUAUAUUAUACUCUUCAAGUCUG